RNAcentral lists this long non-coding RNA (949 nucleotides) under Homo sapiens (human). Its description in RNAcentral is "non-protein coding lnc-SEMA5B-1:1". The record is from RNAcentral. Lineage: Eukaryota; Metazoa; Chordata; Mammalia; Primates; Hominidae.
AUAUCCUUAAUGGCUGGCUUUGAAUCAUCUUCAAGGAAUCCGCCUUCUUGGCCUGGUGUGGUGGCUCACGCCUAUAAUCCCAGCACUUUGGGAGGCUGAGGCGGGUGGAUCACUUAGGAGUUUGAGACCAGCCUGGGCAACAUGGAGAAACACUGUCUCUACUAAAAACAGAAAAAUUAGCUAGGCAUGGUUGUGCGUGCCUGUAGUCCCAGCUACUCGGGAGGCUGAGGCGGGAGGAUCACCUGCAUCUGGGACAUGGAGGUUGCAGUGAGUUGAGAUUGCACCAUCACAGAGCAAGAUCCUGUCUAAAAAAAAAAAAAAAGAGAAUUCUGCCUUCCUUUUAUUUCAUUUUUAUUUCAGAAGAAUAACAGAAUUAACUGGAACUAAGUCUAGCUUUUGUUUUCUUCUUCUCUUUAGCAAGUUCCUUAGUUCCUUCAGUCCUUCUGCUAAGUGAGCAGAGUGUUUAUAAAGAGAGACGAUUUAAAGAUGACUGAAGACAGAUGUUAAAUUUGAACGGUUUCUUACUUCCCUAGUUUCACAAGUUAGGGUCUUAGAAGUUGCCAAGCAGUACUAGGAUACUCCUCUAGGACCGAGAUGUGCAAUUCUGAGCAAAUGUGCAGUGUGCAGUAUUGAUUUCCAGCCUCCUUUUAAACUCCUUCAAGUCUGUGCUAUUAAACGGAGACAACCACAUCAAGAUAGAGUCUGUCAUAGGAUUCCCUGAAGCACAGAAUGAGGAGGAGACUGAGCAAACACGACCCGGGAAGGCACCAGUUGAACCAAGACAACUCUGUAAGACAAAAAAACAUGCAGUUUUAAACAUUCAUGUAUCACCAGCAGACCACCACCUGUAUGCCGGAAGGAAUCUGCUCUGCAUUAAAAAGUACUUAUAAUAAAUGUACCCUGGAAGGCCUAGAAACUGGCUUUCAAUAAAUAGUGACAAUCUGGAGAC